RNAcentral lists this unclassified non-coding RNA (202 nucleotides) under soil metagenome. Its description in RNAcentral is "partial contains 5.8S ribosomal RNA, internal transcribed spacer 2, and large subunit ribosomal RNA". The record is from RNAcentral.
AACCUUAUGGACCUGCGGGCGUAUACCUGCGGAAGGAUCAUUAUCAAAACAGCGGCCUUCGGGCCUUGCUGCACCCUUGUCUUUUGCGCACCGUAUUGUUUCCUCGGCGGGCUUGCCUGCCGGUUGGACAUUAUCAAACCUUCUUGUAGUUGCAAUCAGCGUCAGAAAAACAAUAAUUAUUACAACUUUUAACAACGGAUCU